CGCGCAGGCGGGUGUAUAAGUCAGAUGUGAAAUCCCACGGCUUAACCGUGGACGUGCAUUUGAAACUGUAUACCUUGAGUAUGGUAGAGGAAAGUGGAAUUCCUGGUGUAGCGGUGAAAUGCGUAGAUAUCAGGAGGAAUAUCGGUGGCGAAGGCGACUUUCUGGGCCAAUACUGACGCUGAGGCGCGAAGGUGUGGGUAGCAAACAGGAUUAGAUACCCUGGUAGUCC
This 229-nucleotide ribosomal RNA is filed under the name uncultured bacterium. RNAcentral describes it as "partial 16S ribosomal RNA". It matches the Rfam family "Bacterial small subunit ribosomal RNA", at positions 568 to 796 of the family's 1533-position model. The record is from RNAcentral.